CCUACGGGAGGCAGCAGUGGGGGAUAUUGCACAAUGGGGGGAACCCUGAUGCAGCGACGCCGCGUGGGUGAAGGAGUGCUUCGGCAUGUAAAGCCCUAUUGGCCGGGAAGAAGCAAGACGGUACCUGACUAAGAAGCCCCGGCUAACUACGUGCCAGCAGCUGCGGGAAUACGUAGGGGGCGAGCGUUACCCGGAGUCACGGGGUGGAAAGGGAGCGUAGACGGGCAUGAAAGCCAGGGGUGAAAGCCCGGGGCCCAACCCCGGGACUGCCCUUGAAAAUGGAUGGCUGGAGUGCGGGAGGGGCAGGCGGAAUUCCUGGUGGAGCGGUGAAAUGCGUAGAUAUCAGGAGGAACACCGGCGGCGAAGGCGGCCUGCUGGACCGCGACUGACGUUGAGGCUCGAAAGCGUGGGGAGCGAACAGGAUUAGAUACCCGAGUAGUC
RNAcentral lists this ribosomal RNA (441 nucleotides) under uncultured bacterium. RNAcentral's name for it is "partial 16S ribosomal RNA". It matches the Rfam family "Bacterial small subunit ribosomal RNA", at positions 338 to 795 of the family's 1533-position model. The record is from RNAcentral.